This 421-nucleotide ribosomal RNA is filed under the name uncultured bacterium. Its description in RNAcentral is "bacterial SSU rRNA". It matches the Rfam family "Bacterial small subunit ribosomal RNA", at positions 355 to 774 of the family's 1533-position model. The record is from RNAcentral.
UAAGGAAUAUUGGUCAAUGGACGCAAGUCUGAACCAGCCAUGCCGCGUGAAGGAUGAAGGUCCACUGGAUUGUAAACUUCUUUUAUCUGGGACGAAAACGGGAUUUUUAUCUCAAUUGACGGUACCGGAGGAAUGAGCACCGGCUAACUCCGUGCCGGCAGCCGCGGUAAUACGGAGGGUGCGAGCGUUAUCCGGAUUUACUGGGUUUAAAGGGUGCGUAGGUGGGCUUAUAAGUCAGUGGUGAAAUCUCCGAGCCUAACUUGGAAACUGCCGUUGAUACUAUAGGUCUUGAAUUAUCUGGAGGUAAGCGGAAUAUGUCAUGUAGCGGUGAAAUGCUUAGAUAUGACAUAGAACACCAAUUGCGAAGGCAGCUUACUACAUAUAAAUUGACGCUGAGGCACGAAAGCGUGGGGAUCAAACA